GGAGUAGGCUCCUGUGGCGCCAGUGGAGAAGCUUUGUGGCAAGCUGGUGGAGGAGGUGUUGGUAGCGAGUGUGAAGGGUGGUGAGGUGUAGGGUGUGGAGGGCCUCCUGGCUCAGGCGUGUAGAUGGGAGCAGGAGAAGAAAGAACAAAGGAAGAGGACGAAGAAGAAAGGAAAAAUGGAAGUGGAAGAAGAGGAGGAGCCAAGCCACAAUAUUUAGGUCCGCAGAAAACGACACGCUGAUUUAUUUGAAGUCAAGGAUGGAGAUUAAAACGGCCUUUAAAAACACCACACCCGUUUUGUCCACCGCCAUCACCACCUUCUCCCAGAUCAAGGAAGUGUAUUACGGACUCACACAAAAGGAAGAGGUCCGCAGAAAACGACACGCCGAUUUAUUUGAAGUCACCACACCCAUUUUGUCCACCGCCAU
Molecule: long non-coding RNA, 427 nt
Filed under: Portunus trituberculatus (swimming crab)
Lineage: Eukaryota; Metazoa; Arthropoda; Malacostraca; Decapoda; Portunidae
Description: uncharacterized LOC123514205, transcript variant X3
Source: RNAcentral